GAGGAAUAUUGGUCAAUGGGCGAGAGCCUGAACCAGCCAAGUAGCGUGCAGGAUGACGGCCCUAUGGGUUGUAAACUGCUUUUGUAUGGGGAUAAAGUCAAUCACGUGUGAUUGUUUGCAGGUACCAUACGAAUAAGGACCGGCUAAUUCCGUGCCAGCAGCCGCGGUAAUACGGAAGGUCCGGGCGUUAUCCGGAUUUAUUGGGUUUAAAGGGAGCGUAGGCUGGAGAUUAAGUGUGUUGUGAAAUGUAGACGCUCAACGUCUGACUUGCAGCGCAUACUGGUUUCCUUGAGUACGCACAACGUUGGCGGAAUUCGUCGUGUAGCGGUGAAAUGCUUAGAUAUGACGAAGAACUCCGAUUGCGAAGGCAGCUGACGGGAGCGCAACUGACGCUUAAGCUCGAAGGUGCGGGUAUCGAACAGGAUUAGAUACCCUGGUAGUCCGCACAGUAAACGAUGGAUGCCCGCUGUUGGUACCUGGUAUCAGCGGCUAAGCGAAAGCAUUAAGCAUCCCACCUGGGGAGUACGCCGGCAACGGUG
RNAcentral lists this ribosomal RNA (539 nucleotides) under uncultured bacterium. RNAcentral's name for it is "bacterial SSU rRNA". It matches the Rfam family "Bacterial small subunit ribosomal RNA", at positions 356 to 896 of the family's 1533-position model. The record is from RNAcentral.